This 1737-nucleotide long non-coding RNA is filed under the name Nicotiana benthamiana. RNAcentral's name for it is "long non-coding RNA (NBEN_LNC015920)". Lineage: Eukaryota; Viridiplantae; Streptophyta; Magnoliopsida; Solanales; Solanaceae. The record is from RNAcentral.
CUCAAAACAGUCCAAAACGUUCUACCUCACCCGAUUUCGCCCCAAAAAUUCACCUCAUGCCCUCUUUUCCUCUCUAUUAUUGCCACAUGGGUGUAACGACCUCUGACAACAACAAGAUUCCCUCCUCACUCGCCCGUUUUCAAGCUAUCUCACGCGGAUUAGAAGGCUCUAGAAGAAGGGUGUUGGAUUAGUGAGAAGCGUCGGAUCGAUUUGAUUCAAUCCGAGCCUCACGUUCAUCAAAUGCUCGUUUUCAAGAGAGCCUCAUUCGUAUUUCGUGAAGAGGGGGAAAGGAUCGAGAGUUUUGAUAUAAGGGACCAUUUCGAGUAAGUAGUGGGGGAUUGUUUUUGGAGUCGAAAAGAUUGAAAAAAUAAGCUUGAGAGUUCAUUCAGUUUUCAUGGAGUUAUUUUGGAUUUUAAUUUUGAUUCUGGAAGAAAAGGCUAAGAUAUUCCAGUUUCUUUUGGUUUUGAUUCCUGGUUCUGUUUCAGAAAAUCUAAAAAAAAAAGAAGUUUUCACUAUCUUUCUUUGAUUCCUUUCAUAAAUAGAGAUGGAUUGAGUUUGCCCGAGUUUUCUUUUUUGUCCUGUUUGUUUUAUAAUUUCACUGGAGAUCAGUUUUGAUUAGCAUUUCGAUGCACUAGAGUUUUCUUUGAUUUCAGUUCUGGUUUUCGGACGAACAAUGGCACUCGUAGAGAAAUUUGAGUCUGCUGUUGUCUGAGCUUCUGAUUUCAACCCAUUAGCUUCCAGGUCUCGUUUAUAUUCCAAGCUCGUACAAAGUUAAACGGGUUGUUUAUUGAUUCAGGUUUGCUUUUAAUCCCAUGUAGCCUAUCUUUGGCAUUUUGAUUAUGAAAUGUGACUGUUUGGUCGUAAUGUGUUGGUUUUCCAUUUGCACGAGUAUGUCUGGUUUGACUCGGUUGUGUAUAUGUCAUUGAUUUCUGAUUGUGCUGUGUAUUUAGAACUAUUGCGAUCGUCUGUUAAAUUCUGUUACAUUCUGGUCGAACCGUCUUCAUGACUAGUUGAGUUCUUCAGAAGUUUCCUUUUGGUUAAGUUAGAAUUAAAAAAAAUUAAUAUGAGUAAUUAUUUGCUGCUGUAGUUUGAAUUGUGAGUGAGGGAUGAAACUAUCUUUGAGAUGCUGAGAAAUUGAAAGCCUCUUGUGGUUUGAAUCUGAAAUAUUGGAAACCUUGUUCUGGCUUCUUCCUUUUAGUGUGGAUUUUGUUGAUAUUUGCUAGCAAUUUAGCUAAGUAUCAGUUCUGAUUCGUGUUGGCUUCGCGCUAGAUUUAUUUGUUUCUUGAUGAUUCUAGUUUGAAACUAAUUAAUCCGCUGCUUGAACUAUUUGAGUUCCAUCCUGAUUUGUCUUAGCCUCAUUUUGGUUCAUCUUAGUUGAUACAUUGUUUAAUGAAGUAAGUUGUAAACCUUUGUGACACUAUAUCACUUAACAACUGAAACUGUUGGUUUUCAUUUAAAUAGCUGAAUCUAUUCGGAGCUGUCAUCUCUAAUUUUCCUUGGUUUUCGAACGAGAAGUUUGCUAGACGUGUUAUUGCUUGGUAAUAGGAUUACUGUUGAUCAUACAUCUUUGUUGCAUAUUGAGUUGAAUACCAGUUAGGAUGUUCUUGCUUUAUUUAUUGUUAAAAACAAUGAAAAGCAGUACUGUAGCUGCAUGCUUGUUUUAGUCGACUGUAUUUCAAAUCUUAUUUCAGUUUUUUCAUGGUUAUUAUGUUUGAUGUGGUGCAUCAGUCAAGCCAG